Molecule: long non-coding RNA, 895 nt
Filed under: Nicotiana benthamiana
Lineage: Eukaryota; Viridiplantae; Streptophyta; Magnoliopsida; Solanales; Solanaceae
Description: long non-coding RNA (NBEN_LNC021131)
Source: RNAcentral
GGGUAGUGUGUACGCAGCCUUACCCCUACCCUGGGGUAGAGAGGCUGUUUCCAAAUAGACCCCCGGCAUAAAUCCCCAGAAUUUGCUCCUGGGAAGACUCGAACUCACAACCUCUCGGUUGUAAGUGAGGGUUGGUUACCAUCAGACCAAGCCCCUCUUGUCUGUGUAUAUAAAGACAAUUUAAGUUUAAACUUUCCAUUUACCUUUAGUGACAUAAUAUUAUAGUCACGGAAAUGUCAUGCCUUGUUUAAGAACACAAGUUCCAUAAGUCCUUUCUUAAACUUCGUGCCCCGUUAUACACCUUCACAUAAUGAAACAGACAAGUACACCAACAAUAACAACAACUAUCCAGUAAAAUAUCACAAAGUGGGGUCUGGGGAGCAUAGAGGCUAUUUCUGAUAGACCCUCGGCUCAGGAAAUGAAACAAACAAGUAUAUGAGAAAAAAUGUGAUUCCAACAACCUCUCAUUUUUUUUUUUUUUUUUUGUAUUUUAAACUUCUUAGACUUUCUGCAUUUUAACAAGAAUCAUUACUUCCCCUUAUCAUUAAAUUUUUUUUAUCAAUUUCCUCAAGAGUUCUUUAUGUGUAUUGAAUCAUGAUAAAAAGAAGUUUACCCCAAGUAAGUUGCAUUCUAGUUUAUAGGCAGCAUAGAGGGAACAAUCAUCCUAGAAACCAAAGGUGAUCCAUGUAUUAAGUACUACGUCUAAUUAGAUAAGAAAAAAGAAGGAUUAAGAAGCUCAUUAUGACAUCAAAUAGUAGAGGAAGCCAGUUAAUUUAGGAGAAGGAAAAGCGAUUGGAGAGCUUGGGACCUUAACCCACUAGUACAUGCGUGGAUCCUGUGGAAGGAAAGAAAUAGGAGAGAGUUCGAGAGGAUGGAGAAAGAUUAUAUACUUUUG